Molecule: non-coding RNA, 58 nt
Organism: Dipodomys ordii (Ord's kangaroo rat)
Lineage: Eukaryota; Metazoa; Chordata; Mammalia; Rodentia; Heteromyidae
Source: Rfam
UGGCUCAAUGGUAGAGUGCUUGCCUCACAUGCAUGAGGCCCUGGGUUCGAUUCCUCAG